GGCUAGAGGGUGGACCUAGAACAAUUGCAAAUGUAUGAAAACCUAAUGAAAACAAAACCAAAUCAACUUCUUCUCCUCUUCCUCUCUAUCUCCGGAUCCAUAGAAAAAAAUCCUUCAAUUGAAAACAAAUUGUUGAUUAAAAUUUAUUAAAGUCCAACCGGUCGUCGAUUGUCGAUCAAUUGAAAACAGAUGGUGGAUUAAAAUUUAUGUUAAAGAUGGGGAAGAAGAAGAUCCAUAAAAAAUGCAGUGACUCCAAUCAACAACAUCCUCCAAUCAUUAAAGAAAGUCCAACCGAUCAAGAUCAAGAAUUUCAAACUCUUCGAGGAUGAAUCGUUGGCACGGUUUUGGGGAGAGCAUUCUUCUGGGCAAUUACGAAGUGCAUAGAUAGAAGCACCCAUUGAUGCCCUACAUCUUGGUUGUAGGCCUAGUUUUGGAUGACCAGAGGCAAGUAAUUCAUUUAAUUUUAUGCGGAUACUUUGCAGCUUAGUCUCUCAAAAUAAUUUUUUAUUUAUGUAAUUGUUUUUAGAAGUUGUGUACAGGGACCAUUCUUUUGUCUGAUUACUAAGUUGAGUACAAGGACCAUUCUUUUGGUUAAAGACCAUUCUUUUGGCUGAUUACGGGAGGACUCAUGACAUUAACACCAAGAGUCUCGUGGCAUUCACUCUAUAUUGACUUGUACUGGAGGUUUGAAGCUAACAUGUACCACAAAAGGGUGGCAAUGGCAUGCUGGAAUAGUAGGACCUUUCCUUCCGAAAUGAUUAGCAUCCAACCGCCCAUCGAGUUAUUCUUAACCUAAUAUACAACAACUUAAGCACCAGAACUACCAACUCCAUCUUCUUCUAAUGCUAGUGCUUCUACGUCCAGUAGUCGGUUCGGAGGAUGGCUUUUCAACGACAGGACAUCAAGCUAAUUAUGUCUUUUAUACGAGCACUCAACCUUCUUUCAGUGGACGCAUAUUGAGAUUAUUAUUCCUUUCUUUUGUCUUAGGUGUUCAGCGCACCGGUUCAGAAGGUGACGUCCCAAUAAUAAACUUCUUCGUUUGAAGUGCCAAUUAAAUGUUUAUCAAAAUCAGGAUUGUACACCAUAAGGGUCGGAUCAUUCCCUUUUUAUGGUUCGGAUGUUUUUUUCUCCAAGUUCUUAUCCAUUUCCAAAAAGUAACUAAUACUAUGAUUGAGACAUUGCACUUCCUAUUUGCCAGGAUAGACAUAUUUGGAUUACUCGUCUUGACUCUUGA
Molecule: long non-coding RNA, 1234 nt
Organism: Papaver somniferum (opium poppy)
Lineage: Eukaryota; Viridiplantae; Streptophyta; Magnoliopsida; Ranunculales; Papaveraceae
Exons: 3
Source: RefSeq, a predicted model, not a curated record